AAUAAGUGUAUAAAUAAUAUAUAAGAGAUUAAAUGGUAAAUCAUUAAAUUUAAAAGAUUUGGCAGUAUUUAAAAUUUAGAGGAACCUGUGUAGUAAUUGAUAAUCCACGAUAAGAUAUACUUAAUUUAAAAUUUAUGUAUUGCUGUUUUUAAUAUUUAAUUAAGUUAGAUAAAUUUAAUUUAUAAGAUUUAAUCAAAUAAAAUAAUUCAAGUCAAAAUAUAGUUUAGUUAAGAUUUAAUAUGGGUUACUAUUAAUUUAAUUAUUGGAUUAAAAAAUUUAAGUUUUUUAGGAAAAUGGAUUUAAAAGUAAAUUUAAUUAAUUAAUUAUAUUGAAUGUUAGAUUAAAUAUGU
This 350-nucleotide ribosomal RNA is filed under the name Vespa binghami. RNAcentral describes it as "partial small subunit ribosomal RNA". Lineage: Eukaryota; Metazoa; Arthropoda; Insecta; Hymenoptera; Vespidae. The record is from RNAcentral.